Molecule: long non-coding RNA, 1195 nt
Organism: Anguilla rostrata (American eel)
Lineage: Eukaryota; Metazoa; Chordata; Actinopteri; Anguilliformes; Anguillidae
Exons: 3
Source: RefSeq, a predicted model, not a curated record
GUACAUCUGGGGCCUCAUUUAUAAAAAUGUUCUUUGAUUUAUACUUGAACUUAGCCUUAAGAUAAUUUCGGACAGUGUGCUUACAUUCGAUUCAUAAAAGAUACUGAGCAUAAAAAACCUUGCUUACGCAGGUUCUAAGAAGCCCAUUUGUAACUUACACACCUGUGAUCUAUAAAUCUCAAAUUAACUUAAAAUUGACAGCACCUGAACGUGCCUUACAAUGAGCAAUUUCCCCUUAUAUAAUGCUAGCACAAAUGAGGGUUUAGUCAGGAAUAACCAUGGACCAAAAGAGAAAAGCAAACUUUUUGUAAGACGAGAUCACGGCGACGGUAGAGGAGAUGUAUUAUUCAGUGAACUAAAUAGCGGGUUGACAAAGCCAAACAGGUAGCUUGGGAGUGUGUCGCCACUGCAGUGAAUGAGGUGGGGCAGCAAGACAGAACUGUGGCUGAUCUGAAAAAGAAAUGGUCUUACCUUAAACUGCAAGUGAAAAACCAACUAGACCAGGUCAAAACCUAGUAUAAAUGCGGUUAGCUGGCUAACUUGCCAUUUAUUUCUCACAAAAGAAAAGCUGUCUAUGGGGGUAGUACCAAACGACUUGCGUUGAGCUUCUUUCAUGCGUUUCUCAAUUCAAUUUAAACUACUAGUUUAUUCCUCUUCAUUUAGAUAUCUUCCUGUCAUAGUCAGUUUAAAUGGUAGCUAAAACUAAACCAGGUUAAAACCUGGAACUGGCCGACUUCACAGACAUGCACGGUGUAACUCUAUCACUCACUCACUCACUCAGUCAGUCAGUCAGUCACAGACAUUCAUGUUUGUAGGGCUGGCCCCGUUGUUGCGGUCCAGCCAAAAAUAGCCAUACAUAACCGCAGCAUUAAGGCAAAGGGAGGGGGGCCUGGCAUGCCGGAGCUCUCCCAAAUGGACCAGCGCAUCGCAUCAAUCAUUGGGGAACGCGCAUGCACUGGCACAUGCUCCGACGGGGACAGUGAAUGUUUCAAAAACACAGUAACAUCGAAAACAGUGAAGUCGGCGCGCGAAACCCCCACGACUGCGUCACUGGAUCAGGAAACGGGGGAAAGCUGCAUUGCAGCCCGUGCGCCCUCAACCCAGGGAUAAAGUGUGUGAGGCUCCCAAAUCAGCAGGUGCCAGGAGUGAGGGGGAAGGUUUGGCCACAGGUGCCGAGGGUCCAUCCACGUCUGCG